CCAUAGCCCCGAUUGCAACGGAUACCCCACAGCUAGCGAUGGGAAAUGCAUUGGCGCGAGGAGUAGCAGUGAAAAGCGGGAAAUAGC
Molecule: small RNA, 87 nt
Filed under: Epilithonimonas xixisoli
Lineage: Bacteria; Pseudomonadati; Bacteroidota; Flavobacteriia; Flavobacteriales; Weeksellaceae
Description: Chryseobacterium xixisoli Flavo-1 RNA
Rfam family: Flavo-1 RNA
Source: RNAcentral